Molecule: ribosomal RNA, 487 nt
Filed under: uncultured bacterium
Lineage: Bacteria
Description: bacterial SSU rRNA
Rfam family: Bacterial small subunit ribosomal RNA
Source: RNAcentral
GGCUCAGAUUGAACGCUGGCGGAAUGCUUUACACAUGCAAGUCGAACGGUAGAGGGGGCAACCCUUGAGAGUGGCGAACGGGUGAGUAAUAUAUCGGAACGUGCCCAGUCGUGGGGGAUAACGUAGCGAAAGUUACGCUAAUACCGCAUACGAUCUACGGAUGAAAGCGGGGGACUCGCAAGAGCCUCGCGCGAUUGGAGCGGCCGAUAUCAGAUUAGGUAGUUGGUGAGGUAAAGGCUCACCAAGCCGACGAUCUGUAGCUGGUCUGAGAGGACGACCAGCCACACUGGGACUGAGACACGGCCCAGACUCCUACGGGAGGCAGCAGUGGGGAAUUUUGGACAAUGGGCGCAAGCCUGAUCCAGCAAUGCCGCGUGCAGGAUGAAGGCCUUCGGGUUGUAAACUGCUUUGUACGGAACGAAACGGUGAGCUCUAAUACAGUUUGCUAAUGACGGUACCGUAAGAAUAAGCACCGGCUAACUACGUG